Long non-coding RNA from Homo sapiens (human), 1620 nucleotides. The record is from Ensembl. Lineage: Eukaryota; Metazoa; Chordata; Mammalia; Primates; Hominidae.
AGCUCAGAGGCGGAUCAAUGUACAAGAACAAAUAAAAUAUGGAAAGACAGAUACAGUUUUUAUUAUUUUCUGGGGAAAAGUCCAAUCUCUAGGCUCAUAGAGUCAGUGUUUCCAUAGCCAACCAAGGAUGGCCAGUCCUGGGGGCUGUACCUAAUUAGCAUAGGAUGUCCGGCUGCUGUUGACCACCAAGGUCUCAGAACAGAGCAGCCCUACUGGAGAGGCAGAGAAUAGAGAGAGGAUGAAGUUAUGGGCAGCUGGGAUAUCCAUCUUCUCCUGCGCUGGGAUGUCAGAGUUCCUGGUUUUUGGGCCUUCAGACUUCUGGACUCUGGAAUACAACAGAGCUCUCCUGGUUCCCAGACUUUCAGACUCAGACUAAAUCAAAGCAUCUGCUUUCUUCAUUCUUCAGCUCACAGAUCAUGGGACUUCUCAGCCUCCAUAAUACUGGAUCCCCAGUUCUACUCUGGCACCCCAGUGGUCCACGGCUGAGGAACAUCAUAAGAAAACACCUUUGGCAUGACCAUUAGUGCGGAAGGCUGACUUUCUCCAAGCUGAAACUUCUGCAGAGACUUAAUGGAUUUUUGCUGAACCUGGACAAUGUGAACAGGAAAGAUUCAUCUGUGCUCACAGGUGCUGCGUCUACCAACUCCAUGUGAUUCUGGUGAAGUGGUGAAAUGUGUGGCUCCCUUAGUUAGUAAAAACCACGUAGCUCUUACUUCUUCCAGGGAUUGUUCUAAAUUCUUUUAAAAUAUUAAUUUAUUUAACACAACAAGCUUAUGUGGUGAUUUCCAUUGUUUACCUCAUUUAACAGGUGAGAAAAUAGAAGCAUGGGUAAAUGUAGUGUCUUAAUGAAAUUUAUACAGCUAGUAAGUGACAGAGCUGGAAUUUACAUACAGAUUGUUACACUCAAGGGUCUCUGGUUUUAAAUCCUACAGUGUGAUGAACAUGUGACUGAGACUGGCCCAUUGGAUGACUCCACUUUCUCGAAUCAGUGAGUGGUUCAGGGUUGUCAUGUGGAUUCUUACACGGUGAACCCAGUUUAUGGCAAUUAUUGAUCUGAAUCCUGGGAGAGAGAAUUUUACUUUCCUUUUUUGUAAGAUUGCUUGUUAUGAAGAUGAUGUUUUUUAAAGUGGUUCACCUUGGAGUGUUAGUUGCUAGUUUGCUUCAUGAUAACUGCUAAAAAACUUGACGAAGCCAUGUUUGAGCCAGUCUGCCUGGAACUUUCCAAUACACGAGGCACUAAAUUACCUUUUAUACCUAAGCUGAUCUGAUGUGUUAUUGGAAGAGACCUGACAAACAGAUAUCAUAAAGCCACUGGUAUUGUCUGCAGCAAUGUUAAAUAGACUCAAUAUACAUCUAUACACCCAUAUAUGCCCUCAUAUAUGCACUAAAUACACCUUGACUUUAGGAGUUGGAGACUAAAUUGAUUUAAACUAAGAAGAAGUCAAAUAAAAUGCCUUAGAUAAUCUAUAAAUUACAAAUAAAAUAAAUAUAAAAUAUCUAAUAAGCUAACAGUUCGAGCAUUCUGCAAUUAAGGAAACUGCCUAGUUCACUUUGUUCUUUUGUUCUGUUUUGAAUUUCAUUAAUUUGCGUCUCCAUCUUUAUUAUUGUGUUUUUUCUCCU